CCCACUUUACAAUGUUCUAUCGGACCACCCCUGUUCGGCGCGCGCCAAAGCGCGCGGCUGCUACGGCGGCGGCAACGCCGGCAGCCGGCGUCUUGCGCAGCGGCAGCAGCUGACAUCUCGGCGGGAGGUUCACAUCGACCGCGGUGGGCACGUGACCGCCGGCGUCUGCACCGGUGCGUAAGUGUGUGUGCCGGCAGCCGGGAGCCCACACGACGGCGGGCCUCAGUUUCGGCCUGGAGUCCGGACGCGGCGGUUCGGCUCUUGGCGUGCAGCCUGGCUGGCACUCAACACGUACGCUCCCUAGCUCGCGGACGUCUUUGCACGUGGCACGAGGAAGGAGCGGAGAACGAGACUUCCGGCCUGCAGCCGCCGUCCGCAUCAAGGUGGGUUUCGUUGCACCCAGUUCUGCACCCGAAGUGCGUCAAUUAGGAAGGCGUAAUUAGUAUUGCGGCACGGUUUGAAAUAGAAGAGGUAAACGCAGACGCGCAUUCCUUCUUGCGCCGAGAUUCCGAAGUUUAGCUAGAGUGUAGCCUGCAGCGCCUCUAUAGAGGAAUCUGUCGUGCAUAACCGAAGUAUCGUCUGCUGUGCGAGACGAGAACGUACUAUUGUCAGCAUUAGCAGAGAUCGACAUUUUCUUCCUGAUGGGUUGACGCGCCCCGAUCGUCCUGGGGAGUAUUCUGUAAGUGUUCACCUAGCGGACAUGUCCAUUUCGUCUGCACUGAUGUUACGAUUGGCUGGGCUGAGGUACAAGUGAGACGGAGACAGGUGCCCUCAGCCAAUCAGCAUUUCAGCAGCAGACGAAAAGGACAUGUCCACUAGGUAGACACUUACUGAAUAGGCCGCAAAAUUCGGCUAUCAACACUUCUCCCGCGUCGCAAUCGAAAGGCGGAGGACCAUUGGUUGGUUUUUCGUCUGUGGCUUCUAGUAGCUGGCCAUGUUUCUGUCUCACUCUCCUAUUCGGAGCGAACGGAAUUGCUGAAACAACGUGGCUAAUCGCAUACGCCCUCGAAUAUCCAGAUAUCCCCUCACUGCACGCAAUACAUCGAACAACGUGCGCACGCAGCGGCUUCAGGCCAUGUCGAAGGUUAGCACUGCAGCUCAGAAACUCCAAGUUCAUCUCAAGCAUCAGUGUAAGAACACUGCGUGAAAUCGCAGCUUUUCCCUCUAGCCCCGUUAUCCUUAACUCGUAUCUAUAGCAUCAGAUCGUUGUGCUGAGAAUAGGCUGGAAACGUGUCCGGUUUUCUUUUUUUCGUGGUUGUUCAACGCCCACCUACGUGAGUGAAUGUGCUCAGUAGCCAGUGGCCAUGAGUCAUAUGCCACGUUAGCUCCAUCGCCUGCACGCUAAAGCCGACAACAAUACUACGUCGCCUUCUCUCCCUUCAAACCGUCAGCCGUUUCCCUUCUCUAUAUUGUAAUCUCGCAGUCCUUCGUGAAAGGGCGCGCGCUGUGGCUGAACGCAUUUCAUCACCUUUGUGUAACGUUUCGUAAGCACGGUUGUAUCACGGACAACGUUCUCGCAGCCUUGCAACUGAAGUAUAGCCAUCUCCUGUGAAACGCGAAAGGAGCAUCGACGCAGCCCUCGCCCAUAUAUACCGUGAAAUCUCGAACAACCGCACUCUUCCUUUGCAAACAAUUUCCUUUGUUAGGCAGCAGCAACAACCGCGUCGAAGUAUAAAGGGCAAAGCGUUUCUGGAUCUGCCUUGCUGCGAUCACAUUGUGAAAUCACGCCACAAAAAGUUUUAAUGCGGCAUUGUCAAACAAUGGUAGGUGGCGCUUAUUCAGAUCGAGAUCCAUUUUCCAUCCAUUUUGCGGUAAGUUGCGAUGGAUCAUAGGAAAGCAGGGAACUCCAGCCCAUACCAGCGGCUGCUUUAGCGGAGCUUGGUGAUUCCCGAACGAAUAGUAACGCUUGUAGAACGAAAAUAAUUGAUAAACCUAACCCUUCUGGAAGUAAAAAAAAAAGUUUGACAGCGUCUCCCAGCCGACUGCAACUCCCUUUAGGAAGGAACACCGGCGGGGUACGGCCCCUCGAUCGCCAGAGCCCCGCCGCACAACACGCAAACACCCGGAUAUGCCCAGACGUGGCAAUAAGCUUGACCGGCCGAUUUUCACGAUGCGUCCGCCCGGCCGUGUAAGUGUCUUCGCAAUGGCCAAAAUACAAGCAGGGCCGCCCACAGCUGGGCGGGCGUCGUCGUCCUCAUCAUCAUCGAACCGCGGCCGGGCGAGUCCCCACACCGCGUCGCGUGCCAGAGAGCGGGCCGCUGGCGUGAGCCCACGGCGGGUCAUGGAAUAUUUAAUAGCCCCGAAUUUCGGGCCUCGAUAAAGGCGAAGAGGAGGAAGCGAGGAGGGGCACACCCAAUCGAGGCCCGCUGCUAAACGCCGCCGUCGCCGCUGUGCAUGCCUUCUUCGUCACCCGCGCGCCGGCUGGACUUGGGCGCGCUGACGUCAAAGAGUGCGCGCUGCGCCUCCCAAUCCAGGCGCCGUGCGCUGAACAAUGCCUUCGUCCGCACCGCAGCUGCGAAGCAAGCACGGUGACGACAUCGGCCAGACGCGACACAACUCGCGCUGGUAUACGUGCCGGUGUGCCUCGCUGACGAGUGGGCCCGGACUCCAUAUGCCGGAGGAGGGAGGACGUCGAGCGAGAAGACUGAGGUUUGUUCUUGUUCCCCGCAGUUAACGACUUGUACACAGUGUACACGGCGAACAGGCCAAGAAGCAGACGAGAGGAAGAGCAGUGGAGAACAAGGGCGAUAAGAGGAGUAUCGAAGAGGACUUAUCACCGAACGACGCACAAGGCUUCGGCAGUUUCUACACCUUCGUCACGUCCUCGAGCACUCACGCCCUUCAACUUCUCACUACGGCGACCGGGGCAAUUGACACCAUGUGAGACAACGCACGCCCUGGGGCUGACUCGAGCUGCCCGUGCAAAACUGGAACCUUUGCGUUGUUUUGUUCGUUCGGCUCGAGUUAGGAACCGGCGUGGAAGCGCCGAUGGAACGAGCCGGCACCACCCUCCCCCCCUCUCGCCGGCUCGCCCUGCCUGCCCUUUCCUGUCUCGGCGGGGGUGCUCCCCGAAGCGUUAAAUAAAGAUUCACUGCACUUUUCAA
Molecule: non-coding RNA, 3104 nt
Organism: Dermacentor albipictus
Lineage: Eukaryota; Metazoa; Arthropoda; Arachnida; Ixodida; Ixodidae
Source: RefSeq, a predicted model, not a curated record